UGCCCACAACCGAGCACACCAUCACCACCUUAAACAUCCUCAUCUUCUUCAUUACAUUGUCCAUUCAAAGCCUAGAAAUCAUCCAUGGAAGGUGCAACUUGAAGGGAUUUCAAGGGAGCAUUGUUCUUGCUUGGUUCUACAUCUUUUUCUCGUCAUUUUUACACAAGAUUCUUCCCUAGCUAGAGGCUAGUAGUAAGUUUCUUCAUACUUGAUCUCAUCUUGUUCGAAAUAUUGACAUAUCGCAUGAAAGCUUGCACGAGGAAGGAGUCGUUGUGGUGUACGGACGGUUAUGUCUCGUGUUUAAUACAUAAUCCUUGUGAACUUAUUAAACUUGCGUUUGAAACUUUAACUUGAACUAUGGACUAUGUUUUGGACUUUACGUUUAUGCUUCCGCUGUUAAACUAAAAUCGGCUUACUUCCUUUUGGUCACCAAUCGUAUUAUGGUUGUUUUACUUACUUAAAUACGUUGUUCGAUAUGAUUGGUGGCUCGAUCCUGGUCUCGUCACGCCUCCAAGCGGUGGUACUCCGCAUGGUGGAUUUUGGGGGUGUGACAAAUGAGAAUGAAGAAACAAUCAAGACUCAUUUUGGGAGAAUAUCUCGGCUUGAAAGUGAAGCUGAGAAUUCGAGGAACAAAAUUGAGGAACUUGAAAAGAAAUUGAAAGGUUUUGUGACAUCAUACGAGUUUUUGAAUAUCCCCUGUCCAAAACCAAUCAAUUCUAUUCCAAUAAGUGACAAUGUCACAAACUUUGACA
RNAcentral lists this long non-coding RNA (752 nucleotides) under Helianthus annuus (common sunflower). Lineage: Eukaryota; Viridiplantae; Streptophyta; Magnoliopsida; Asterales; Asteraceae. The record is from RNAcentral.